GAUGAACGCUGGCGGCGUGCCUAAUACAUGCAAGUCGAGCGAACAGACGAGGAGCUUGCUCCUCUGACGUUAGUGGCGGACGGGUGAGUAACACGUGGAUAACCUACCUAUAAGACUGGGAUAACUUCGGGAAACCGGAGCUAAUACCGGAUAAUAUAUUGAACCGCAUGGUUCAAUAGUGAAAGACGGUUUUGCUGUCACUUAUAGAUGGAUCCGCGCCGCAUUAGCUAGUUGGUAAGGUAACGGCUUACCAAGGCGACGAUGCGUAGCCGACCUGAGAGGGUGAUCCGCCACACUGGAACUGAGACACGGUCCAGACUCCUACGGGAGGCAGCAGUAGGGAAUCUUCCGCAAUGGGCGAAAGCCUGACGGAGCAACGCCGCGUGAGUGAUGAAGGUCUUCGGAUCGUAAAACUCUGUUAUUAGGGAAGAACAAAUGUGUAAGUAACUAUGCACGUCUUGACGGUACCUAAUCAGAAAGCCACGGCUAACUACGUG
RNAcentral lists this ribosomal RNA (497 nucleotides) under uncultured bacterium. RNAcentral describes it as "partial 16S ribosomal RNA". It matches the Rfam family "Bacterial small subunit ribosomal RNA", at positions 28 to 507 of the family's 1533-position model. The record is from RNAcentral.